Long non-coding RNA from Perognathus longimembris pacificus (Pacific pocket mouse), 337 nucleotides. RefSeq lists it as uncharacterized. The record is from RefSeq and is a predicted model, not a curated record. Lineage: Eukaryota; Metazoa; Chordata; Mammalia; Rodentia; Heteromyidae. The transcript has 2 exons.
GUGCUACACAGUUUUCUGAAAAAUAGCUAAAACAGUAAAGGCUGGAUGUGUAGCUCAAAUGGUAUAGCCAUUGCCUAAUAAAGCAGGAGGACCAAGACUAAAUCCCAGUACUACCAAAAAAAGAAAAAAAGGGAGAUGGGGAGAAGAGGAACAACAACAACCACAGUAGGGAAAAGAGAAAAUGAAGUCUUGAUGAUAGGCAAAUCUGUACACAAAAAUAAUUACACAAAAUUUUGUACUUGGCUAGUGUGUUUAUUUUCACUGAGAUAUAGGUUAACAAUUCUGAUAGUGUUUUAUGUGUGUAGUAACUCCCUUGUACAACUACUUAAAAGAUGAU